RNAcentral lists this transfer RNA (66 nucleotides) under Presbytis comata comata. Its description in RNAcentral is "tRNA-Thr". It matches the Rfam family "tRNA". Rfam says of the family: Transfer RNA (tRNA) molecules are approximately 80 nucleotides in length. RNAcentral also lists the same sequence under 1 other name. The record is from RNAcentral. Lineage: Eukaryota; Metazoa; Chordata; Mammalia; Primates; Cercopithecidae.
GCCCUUGUAGUACAAGCAAAUACACCAGUCUUGUAAACUGGAAAUGGACACCCCCUCCCAAGGGCA